UGAUUCUCCCGCUCCAGACAGUCGCAGGUUAAGAUCCUCCCUGUCCCCGGUUCCUACUGCGUUUGAGCGGUGCAAUAAGGAAACCAUCAGAAUGGGCACACCACGAUCAGGGCCGUCCUGGAACACCUGGAGCGUCUUGCAUGUUGGGCACUGUGAACACUACACAGUAAGGACUGAAGUUGCAGGAGUGUGAUGUUUUUCUUUAGAGAACAUACAGAUCUCAAUGGCUUCAGUAUGAGGAACGUGUCUUACAAUCAAUAAGUACACCUCUGAAGGGGCUGGAGGUUCAGUCCAUCAGAGGCCGGCUUCCCCUCUGCUGCCAGAGCCUGGAUUACUCUGGAGGGACCCUCUUUCCCUGAUGGUCAGCGCA
Alexandromys fortis (reed vole) is the source of this 370-nucleotide long non-coding RNA. RefSeq lists it as uncharacterized. NCBI's taxonomy places the organism in Eukaryota, Metazoa, Chordata, Mammalia, Rodentia, Cricetidae. The record is from RefSeq and is a predicted model, not a curated record. The transcript has 3 exons.